RNAcentral lists this ribosomal RNA (468 nucleotides) under uncultured bacterium. RNAcentral's name for it is "partial 16S ribosomal RNA". It matches the Rfam family "Bacterial small subunit ribosomal RNA", at positions 28 to 507 of the family's 1533-position model. The record is from RNAcentral.
GACGAACGCUGGCGGUGUGCUUAACACAUGCACGUCGAACGGUAAGGCCCUUUCGGGGGUACACGAGUGGCGAACGGGUGAGUAACACGUGAGUAACCUGCCCUCAUCUCUGGGAUAACAGUCGGAAACGGUUGCUAAUACUGGAUAUGAGCUUGCAAGGCAUCUUGUGGGUUGGAAAGAUUUUUUUUGGUUGGGGAUGGACUCGCGGCCUAUCAGCUUGUUGGUGAGGUAGUGGCUCACCAAGGCUUCGACGGGUAGCCGGCCUGAGAGGGCGACCGGCCACAUUGGGACUGAGAUACGGCCCAAACUCCUACGGGAGGCAGCAGUGGGGAAUAUUGCACAAUGGACGGAAGUCUGAUGCAGCAACGCCGCGUGCGGGAUGACGGCCUUCGGGUUGUAAACCGCUGUCAAUUGUGACGAAGCUUUUUUGUGACGGUAGCAGUAGAAGAAGCACCGGCUAACUACGUG